RNAcentral lists this ribosomal RNA (253 nucleotides) under uncultured bacterium. RNAcentral's name for it is "partial 16S ribosomal RNA". It matches the Rfam family "Bacterial small subunit ribosomal RNA", at positions 524 to 776 of the family's 1533-position model. The record is from RNAcentral.
UACGUAGGGUGCGAGCGUUAAUCGGAAUUACUGGGCGUAAAGAGCGCGCAGGCGGUCGUUCAAGUCGAGUGUGAAAGCCCCCGGCUCAACUGGGGAGGGUCAUUCGAUACUGAUCGACUUGAAGGCAGGAGAGGGAAGCGGAAUUCCCGGUGUAGUGGUGAAAUGCGUAGAUAUCGGGAGGAACACCAGUGGCGAAGGCGGCUUCCUGGACCAAUACUGACGCUGAGGAGCGAAAGCCAGGGGAGCAAACGGG